Molecule: RNA transcript, 3021 nt
Organism: Vidua chalybeata
Lineage: Eukaryota; Metazoa; Chordata; Aves; Passeriformes; Viduidae
Gene name: serine/threonine-protein kinase PAK 3-like
Exons: 16
Source: RefSeq, a predicted model, not a curated record
CAGGGCAAUGGACAGUGCCCGGGCACAGCACAGCUUAAGCGCAGGCUGACCGGGAAGGCAAUCUUCCCAUGCACUGCAGGAUUUAGGCGUUUUGAUUCCACAGCCCUGCCAUGAGCUGGCUGGGCACAAAGCCGCCCCGAGCACCGGUGCCUCCUCUCCACGCUUGCCAAGGUCAGAGAAGGAGAGGCUGCAAAGCAGCCUGCUGGAGGCUCAGCAGCACGUAUCAGAGCUGGAGAUAGCCAGGAGCCGUGUGGAAGCCCAAGUGCGCACAGCCACGCAGGCCAAGGAGGCGAUACUGGAGGAUGUGAGGGGCCUUCGUCGUGAGCUGCUGGCUGUAAGAUCUCUCAGCAAGCAGCAAUGUGAAGACAUGGCUCAACAGCUCCGCUGGGCAGAAGAGCAGUGCAGCAAGGCUGUGAGACUCUGGCAAUCUGCUGAGAAAGCGAAGGAAAGAAAGAUCAUGCAAAAACUGGCGAGACAACAGCUGGAACUACAGAGGUUGGAGGCGCAGAAGAAGAUGGAGCAGCUGGAAAAAGCCCUGACAGAGCUCCAGUGCCAGAAUGCUGCUCUGUGUGAUAACAUGUGCCAGCUGAGGCAGGAGCUGAACAAGCUGAAGAAAGGGCAGAAUAUCAAGCUGCAGGCAGAGCUGCAGGACGCUCAGAGGAAGAUGAAGGCAAUGGAGAAGAGGCACAAAGAAGAAAUGGAAAGGAUGCAUAAGGUCCUGCUGCAGUACAGCCCAGCUGAAGAAAAGCAGAUGGACGCAGGAUCUGCCAUCAAAGCUGCCGCUGCAGCAGCAUCCUCCGAAGAAGCCUCCUCUCCGCAGCCCGAAAACCCGAGCGUGAGCAGUUCGGCCCUCUCAAGCCGGGAGAAAGAGAAGCAGUUCCUGAAGCUGCUGAGGCGUGAGGUGAGUGUGGGAGAUCCAGAGAAGAAGUACACUGGAUGGAGACCUAUUAGCAGUGGGGGGUUUGGAACCGUUUAUAAGGCCUUCAACGCUGCCACAGGACAAGCGGUGGCCAUAAAGCAAAUUAAUCUCCAGUGCCAGGGCUGCAAGGAUGUGUUGAAGGAAAUCCUGGUCAUGAAAGAAUAUAAGAACCCGAAUAUUGUCACCUACCUAGAAAGCUACCUUGUCAAUGAGGAUGUCCUGGUGGUGUUGGAGUAUAUGGAUGGAGGCUCCUUAGCUGAUGUGGUCAGCAUGAAAAGGAUGGCUGUAGGACACAUAGCAACAGUGUGUCGGGAGUGCCUGCAAGGCCUGGCUUUCCUUCAUGCCAACCAGGUGAUCCACAGAGACAUCAAAAGUGACAACAUCCUUCUGGGCCAGGAUGGCUCCGUCAAGCUGGCCGAUUUUGGCCUCUGUGCUCCACUCAGCCCUGAGCAGAGUAAACGGAGGUCGAUGGUCGGGACCACUUGCUGGAUGGCACCCGAGGUGGUGAGAAGAGAGCCAUACGGCCCCAAAGUGGACAUCUGGUCCCUUGGCAUCGUGGGAAUAGAAAUGGCCAAAGGAGAGGCUCCUUAUAUUCGGGAACCCAGUGAGAGGGCUAACUACCUGAUAGGCAAGCAAGGCGUACCAGACCUGCACAAGCUCAGGCUGCCCUCUGGCUUGUGUGAAUUUCUGGGCUGCUGCCUGCAGAUGGAUGUGGACAGGCGAGGCUCUGCCAAGGAACUUCUGCAGCAUCCAUUUCUCCAGUCAGCGGAGCCUCUCUUAAGCCUCUUCUGACAGCCUGAUCGCUGUCAUCCCUGCAGCCAAGUCAUGCAGGAAGCAAAGGAGAUGACAAGGACCACUUCAGCACCUGGAGAACUGAACCUGUGAGAACAGAUCACAUGGGCCCCUGCCAUCUAAAUCCCAACUCUAAGGGCUUUUCAAAUGAAAAGGAAGGAAACUUGCAGCGAAGCAAUCGAGGAAGCAGAAGAGAUGACCAGGACCACUUCAGGAUUACUUCCUCCAAAGGCAGCUUGGAGCUGGACUCACAAUAAAAGUCCUAUACACCCUCAGGCCUUAUUUUAAAUGAUGUUAAUAUCAGCACAGUGAUGGCUUGGUUUGCUGUUUGGGGUUUUUUUACUUUAUAAAUAUACUAUCAUUCCCAAAUGACCUUCAACUGCUAAGGGUGUUAAACUACUGAAAGAAUCCAUUAAAUGGUACAAGAAAAAAAAUUAGAAGUUCCCAGCACCAUACCUGUGCUCUUGCAUGAACUUCUGCAAGGAUAUUUGAGUACUGCUCUUCAAGAUAUUGCUUUUCUUUCUGCCUGCAAUGUUCCUGUGCUUUUAACUGUUCAGACAUUUUCUCAAAAGCCUCCUCCUGCUUCUGCUGAAGGUUUUUCAUAGUGUCAGUCUUGUGCUUGCAAAUAUAUUCUAGGUGAAAUAUCUGUGUGAGAAGAAUUUAAGAAGAAAUUCUUAUUUACCUUUUCACUUUGAGUCAAGCACAGACUAUUCCAGCAUAAAAUCUAAACUGUAAUUUCUUCAAAAUUAUCAUUAAAACUAAGUAAAACCCUUUUUUUUUUUUUUUUUUUGUUGAAAACCCAAGACAUUCCAGAUUAAGUUUUUAAACAAUUUCAGGGAAUUCUAGCAUGUUUCAGGGAAUUCUAGAAUGUUUUCCUUACAAGUAGCUCCUAAGUUUACGAUGUGUUUUCAACAAGCAUGAAGGGAUUCACUCUUGUGGUUUAACACUGCACCUCCCAUGCAAAUUACAUGGAGGAAUGAACCAAGCCAACAAUGAUCUCCAAAUGCACACACCUGCACUUUCUUACUAGAAAAUAUCAGCUUCCAGACGCUUCCAGAUAAAUCACGCUGAGCUGUAGGAACAAAGUUUGUUACAACACAGUCUAAAAUCCCAGAAAAGCUGCUAAGUACAUGAGAAGAUCCCUAGAGACCUCACAAUCAGUCUCAAUAACAAGGCUUAAUCAAAAAGCAAGAACAGUAAGACACAAACCCCACAAACACUGCCAACAAUAUCCAUCUCCUUCCCUUCCCAUGUCUUUCCUUCUCCUUUUCCUCUUUUACUUCAAAAGAGAAAUAAACCAGAAAACAAAG